UCUUUGGAGAGUUUGAUCCUGGCUCAGGACGAACGCUGGCGGCGUGCCUAAUACAUGCAAGUCGAGCGGACCGGAUCGGAGCUUGCUCUGAUUUGGUCAGCGGCGGACGGGUGAGUAACA
RNAcentral lists this ribosomal RNA (120 nucleotides) under Geobacillus sp. PK12. RNAcentral's name for it is "partial 16S ribosomal RNA". It matches the Rfam family "Bacterial small subunit ribosomal RNA", at positions 1 to 115 of the family's 1533-position model. The record is from RNAcentral. Lineage: Bacteria; Bacillati; Bacillota; Bacilli; Caryophanales; Anoxybacillaceae.